AAUUGACUUGGUAACGCAGCUAACGCGUGAAGUAGACCGCCUGGGGAGUACGGUCGCAAGAUUAAAACUCAAAGGAAUUGACGGGGACCCGCACAAGCGGUGGAUGAUGUGGAUUAAUUCGAUGCAACGCGAAAAACCUUACCUACCCUUGACAUGUACGGAAUCCUGAAGAGAUUUGGGAGUGCUCGAAAGAGAACCGUAACACAGGUGCUGCAUGGCUGUCGUCAGCUCGUGUCGUGAGAUGUUGGGUUAAGUCCCGCAACGAGCGCAACCCUUGUCAUUAGUUGCUACGAAAGGGCACUCUAAUGAGACUGCCGGUGACAAACCGGAGGAAGGUGGGGAUGACGUCAAGUCCUCAUGGCCCUUAUGGGUAGGGCUUCACACGUCAUACAAUGGUACAUACAGAGGGCCGCCAACCCGCGAGGGGGAGCUAAUCCCAGAAAGUGUAUCGUAGUCCGGAUUGGAGUCUGCAACUCGACUCCAUGAAGUUGGAAUCGCUAGUAAUCGCGGAUCAGCAUGUCGCGGUGAAUACGUUCCCGGGUCUUGUACACGCCGCCCGUCACACCAUGGGAGCGGGUUCUGCCGGAAGUAGUUAGCCUAACCGCAAGGGGGGCGAUUACCACGGCAGGGUU
RNAcentral lists this ribosomal RNA (632 nucleotides) under uncultured Herbaspirillum sp. RNAcentral's name for it is "bacterial SSU rRNA". It matches the Rfam family "Bacterial small subunit ribosomal RNA", at positions 833 to 1469 of the family's 1533-position model. The record is from RNAcentral. Lineage: Bacteria; Pseudomonadati; Pseudomonadota; Betaproteobacteria; Burkholderiales; Oxalobacteraceae.